Molecule: ribosomal RNA, 636 nt
Filed under: Colletotrichum boninense
Lineage: Eukaryota; Fungi; Ascomycota; Sordariomycetes; Glomerellales; Glomerellaceae
Description: LSU rRNA
Rfam family: Eukaryotic large subunit ribosomal RNA
Source: RNAcentral
ACUUAAGCAUAUCAAUAAGCGGAGGAAAAGAAACCAACAGGGAUUGCCCCAGUAACGGCGAGUGAAGCGGCAACAGCUCAAAUUUGAAAUCUGGCCCCAGGCCCGAGUUGUAAUUUGCAGAGGAUGCUUUUGGCGCGGUGCCUUCCGAGUUCCCUGGAACGGGACGCCAUAGAGGGUGAGAGCCCCGUACGGUUGGACACCAAGUCUUUGUAAAGCUCCUUCGACGAGUCGAGUAGUUUGGGAAUGCUGCUCAAAAUGGGAGGUAUAUUUCUUCUAAAGCUAAAUAUUGGCCAGAGACCGAUAGCGCACAAGUAGAGUGAUCGAAAGAUGAAAAGCACUUUGAAAAGAGGGUUAAACAGCACGUGAAAUUGUUAAAAGGGAAGCGCUUAUGACCAGACUUGCGCCCGGUGAAUCACCCAGCUCUCGCGGCUGGGGCACUUUGCCGGCUCAGGCCAGCAUCAGCUCGCUGUCGGGGACAAAAGCUUCGGGAACGUAGCUCUCUUCGGGGAGUGUUAUAGCCCGUUGCACAAUACCCUUCGGCGGGCUGAGGUACGCGCUCCGCAAGGAUGCUGGCGUAAUGGUCAUCAGCGACCCGUCUUGAAACACGGACCAAGGAGUCAACCUUAUGUGCGAGUG